RNAcentral lists this ribosomal RNA (253 nucleotides) under uncultured bacterium. RNAcentral describes it as "partial 16S ribosomal RNA". It matches the Rfam family "Bacterial small subunit ribosomal RNA", at positions 524 to 776 of the family's 1533-position model. The record is from RNAcentral.
GACAGAGGGGGCAAGCGUUGCUCGGAAUCACUGGGCGUAAAGGGCGCGUAGGCGGGAUGGCAAGUCAGUCGUGAAAUCUCUCGGCUCAACCGAGAAGCGUCGGCUGAUACUGCCGUUCUUGAGGGAUGCAGAGGAGACUGGAAUUCCCGGUGUAGCGGUGAAAUGUGUAGAGAUCGGGAGGAACACCCGUGGCGAAGGCGGUUCUCUGGGACGGUACUGACGCUGAGACGCGAAAGCGUGGGGAGCGAACAGG